CAGAUACUAUCCCACAGACCUUCUCUUGGGACAGGGGGGGUAAGGCAGUACCUGCCGGUUUAAGCCAUGAGGUCCUUUCCGAAAAUACAUGCAAGUGUUCUCCUAAAUGCUGUGAAACCGGCCUGAGCCUGUGAAGAUUUGGGAUUGUGCACAAACCAGCCUGUCUUGAUGGAGCCAAGGAGAUCUGUAUACAUUCUGCUUGCAGGGUUUCAGGUGCGAGAAUCUCAUCUUCAGUCUGCAGACCAACUCCAUGCAAAAAGAAUAUGGCUUAUUAGAUGGUGGUGGUAUCCAUUCAGUGAUAUGUCAUGAAGCAGCAAAUGCCAAAGCAUCUGUAUACUUGUAUAUGGACAGAAGCAGUUCUUUUGCAAUAGCCAUCAGCUGAAAGGAGGAACCAGCCCAGUCCCAGGAAAUACAGACAAAAAUGCACACAAGUCUCUGGCAGCAAUACCUGAGAAAGCUUUAUAGUGAAAAAGCAUUUGUGUUUCUUGCUGAAAACAAAACAGCUGGGGAAAAAAAAAAAAUCAGCCAAAGAUGCUUCUUCUGAGGAACUCUGUGCAAUUUGCUUCACAAUUAGACACUUGAAAGGCACCUAACAGGGUUGUCUGGAGCCCAUUUAAGAGAAGGACAGGGGGCUGCCUAUUCUGUCCAUGGCUGAGGAGGGAACUGGGGCUCUAUCAUGGGUGAUUUGCAAACAUCCAAAAGAGAGCCUUCAUUGUACUCGGGGGGGGCUGGAGGCCCAGUUAGUAUUUGGUGUGGUGCUGUGUCACCCAGAAUAUAUUCUUUCUAGAGAGCCGUGCCUGGUACCUGCAUUGUUUUCCUCAUUCAUUAUAUACUGGGCAUGCAUUAGUGACAGCACCAUAGGAAAUUGUAUUCAUCAUGCUAAAUUGCAUAUAUCUACCUGUCAGAAGCCUGCAUGUUACCCCAGUAAGGGCCAAGGCUUAACUGCUUCUUAGUAGUCUGGUGCAGAAGUGCACAUUACACAACUACCCUGUGUUCAAAUGAACCAAUACCUCAGACAGUAGCUGGUGCAAACCAGGAUGGCAGCUGUCUGUGGAUAUAAUCACAACUGAAUACAUACUGCCAGGGCUUCUGUGUCCUGGUUGCACAGCUAGGGGCAGAGCACUCAACUAUUUCUAAAGCUAGAUAUGCAAAUGCCUCUGGAAUGGAGCCUUUUACAGUUCUGCUCUCAUUAACCUGAUUUGCAUAUGUAAAUGACCUCUUGCCACAUGAUAAUGAGGUCUGCUCAUACAGAGAUGUUCAGCAUAUAAGGAGAGGGUUUUCAGUGACAAUCAGAGCAUUUUGGCCAAAGCAGCUGGUACAAGGACAGGACCAAGAAAGAAGUAAAGGCAGGAUCCAGGGACAACAGGGCAGGGAAGCAGAAGGAAGCAAAAGAAAAUCAAACGCUGCAGAUGUCUCCUCCAAAUGCCAAGGGCAUCUGCAGUUCUAGUGCCUUACUGGAGCAAUUUCAUAGUGGAGUCUGUGAAAUGAGAGCAGCUGGAGGACACUGACAAUUGGGAAGUGACCUGUGGCGUGGAGCUCCAUGGAUGAUAGCGGAUGUCUGGCUAUCGUAGAACAGCAAGCACGUGGCCUAGCAUUCACUGGCUGGUUUAAAGCAGUCUCUUCCAGCUAUUCCUGUGAGCACCAUCACAGAGAGCUGGACACAUGGCAACGGGUCAGUCCUUCUUCAAGAGCAGUCUCCAGUUUAAUCAUUUCUCUGUGAUUACCUCUUUGCCACUGGCACACUCAUCCAGAGGUGACACUUCUCAUUUCUUAUUCCUCAUAUGCUGCUUAGCUUCUCAUCAGGGAUAUUUCAUACCUAUGCCUCACUUAGUGCAUGUGGAGGCAAGACAAAAUCCUUCCUAGGUUUUCCUCCUUGGAUACCAUGCCCCUUUUAGAGAAGAAAUGACUGCUCAUAUCCUGAGAUAUUUGUCUUCCUGCUUGCCAUGUUUAACUCUUGAUUCCUGGUCCUGCUACAGAACAUUCAGCUGCUGAGGAUUUGCUGACUCAGAGCUCUUCAAAACCUACCUGAUUGGGCACCAUCUUUAUCCAGUUCAGAAAGAGGGAAUGAUCAGUUCCACUCAGACUUGCCCAGCUGUCUCAGGUAGGAAUACAACCCUUCUUUCUUUGAAAGGAGGAAAAGGCUGUAGAAGAUGGUAGUUAAUACCUGUUACUGGGGAAAAAAAAAUAAAAUAAUUGUGGGCUAAACUCAGGAUUUGCCUGCAUAAAACCUUGUACUGGUACAUGGGAAGUGGUCGGUCUCUUUUUGUCACUGGAAAAAUAAUAGUAGCCAGUAUCAAAUAUCAAGAGCCCUAUUUAUAGCUGGUAAGCCACCAAACUGAGGUUAAAAAAAAAUGGUAGGGAUGCACAUCACAGUCAAUAAAUAAGAAUCUGUGUUGGUAUCUUUGUGAGCUAGCCAGAGUUAAGCUAAAUUAAGUUUAAAAAGUAGUGAAGACAAAGCAACUUGUGUAUUAGAUUAAUUUAGGAAGUUGAAUUCAAGCCUGUAAAGGAAAUUAGUUCAUCUCAUGACUACUUUUGGUUCACUCCCACUCAUACCAAAGGGAAGAUAAUGCAUAUGGGAGACAGAGAAACUUGACACACUUGUAUUUCUUUACCUGUCCACUGCUGACAGAGCCAUGCAGUGUGACUACAAGUAAUGGUUAACUUCAAAGCACUAAAAACUGAUUGUUGAACAUGCCCCAUCCUUUCUGCACAUCAGUAGGCAGUUCCUGGAGCAGCCACUGGCCCAAGCCCAACUCAUCUGUGUUCCACCCUUCACAAUGUGGUCAUUACAUGAAGGAAUGAUGGUGUAAUCCCUCCUCAUCAUGUCCACCAGCAUAAACAUGAGAUUCAAUUUUACUGUAGUCACGCUGUCAGUAUAGUAUUUCCCAGUCAAUAAUAUCAUCCAGGCCCAUGAUUGUCCCUUCCUAAAAAGCCUUCAGGUCUGGACCCUAAUUUUCUAAGCUUACAUCCCAAAGCCCUCUCAACACUGAGUGCUUUUAACAAAAGCAACAGUCUUGCAUAUCUAUGCUAAUAUUAAUUUGUUUGGUGGUCGUAAGGGAAGUGUUGUAAUGUGCAGAAUGACCUAGAAAUGAGUAGUGUCUGAAGAGCAUAGUCUGGGUCUGGUGGUUUAUUCAUAUAAAUAAAUCAGAAGGAUCAAGCAGAGCAUGCAGGGUCUUUUGAGUGUUUCUGUGUAGCCUGUCUGAGCAGCAAGCCCUUAACCACACACUCAAGCAACCUCUGGGAGUAUUCAGUCAAUUUGGGCAACUAACAACCUGUCCUAAAACUGAGCCUGCAAGCAUUUGCCAUUCUGAAAAGGCUGUCAGUUAACUAAGCCAAAAGGUUAUGGAAAUUCUCUCACUUGUAAGGUGCCAUCUUUAGAACACCUUUUGUUUAACUUUAUUUUUAGUUGUUUAGUAGGCAGGCAUUUUUGUAGGGGCUUUAAUCAGACAAGGGGUUUAUGAGGCUAUUCUGAGAGAAGGCAUUUAAUUAAUUCCAGACUUUUCUCUUCCUCCCUCUUUUGUUCAGCUUAGGUAUACCAUCUACAUACCUAUCUAUAACAACUGAGGUAAAAAUCCUAUGAGAUUUCUAAGAAGUUUGGUUCAUCUUUCAUUAGAUUGCAGCAGAACUGAACCAUAUCCUCUCACUGCUAGACAUUUUUUGAACUAGGUUUUUCCCAGUCUCACUGGGGUAUGUAUGUGAGCUGGAAAGCUUCACAAUGCAUUAAGAUUUCAUGAGGGCCUAAUUCUGUUUUCUCUUACACUGCCCUGAAUCUUCAGCACACAGUGCUUCCACUUCAAUGUAACAUAACUGAGAAUACAGCAAGUCUCUGAGUAGCCAAGCUCCACUGCAUGUACCAUCUAAAAAAAUGGUGUUCUAACCAUGCAACUUGUGAUUUUUAUCUUGAAGAGCUAAAAGCUUAGUGUCAUUACUUCGUUCCUAUUAGAUAAGUGUUUUGGAGACAGGAAAGACAUUUUGGCUUAUAGUAAAAACUUUUAUUCCAAAUGUGCUCUUUUCUUUAACAAAAAAAAAAAAAAACAAAACAAAACCCAACCAUGAAGAAGGCAUUUUGAGAGAUCUUAUUUUGUAUUAAAUGGUCAAUGUCCCUUCAUUAUUUUGGCAGGGCUAGGUUGCAUCUGCUGUUUCUGUAUGAAGUCAUGUAAGCAGGCACAGAAUUCUCAUCUUGUUCUGCUGUAUGUCAGGAUC
Molecule: long non-coding RNA, 4203 nt
Organism: Pezoporus occidentalis (night parrot)
Lineage: Eukaryota; Metazoa; Chordata; Aves; Psittaciformes; Psittacidae
Exons: 3
Source: RefSeq, a predicted model, not a curated record